This is a long non-coding RNA of Capsicum annuum, 6791 nucleotides long. RefSeq lists it as uncharacterized. The record is from RefSeq and is a predicted model, not a curated record. The transcript is spliced from 16 exons. NCBI's taxonomy places the organism in Eukaryota, Viridiplantae, Streptophyta, Magnoliopsida, Solanales, Solanaceae.
AUAUACAUUUUUUUAAAAACUAUCUUCCCACUUCAGUUCCCAUUUAAGCCCUGAGUACUCAAUACUCUCUCUCAACAGAGUGACGAAAGGCGGCAACAGGGUUAAGCCGACAACAACGAAUGGUGAACGGAGAACGGCACCCAACAACGAACUGUUGGCGAAAGUGGAGAAACUACAAUUGACCUUUGCCAUUGAAGAUCCGAGUUGAUCAUGGAUAAAAGUUGGAUGCAUGAACCAAAGUUCACUAAAACAUAUAUUGAGGGUGUCCAAUAUUUUAUGCGGCUUGUUCGAUCUCACUUUGACCAAAAUACCAAAGUUCGAUGCCCAUGUACAGAUUGCUUAAAUGUAUUUUUUCAAACACAAGAAGUAGAGCAUGUCCAUUUAUUGCUUGAAAGAAUUAUGGAAUGUUACGUUGGAGACACCAUGGGGAACAAUCACAAAUGAGAGAUAACAAUGAAGCAAUUUACAAUGAAUAUGAAAAUGAAGCCCAUGAUAAGGAUGAUGGAAUUCGUACUAUGUUAAAAGAGGUAGCUAAAGGAUCUUUUGCCAAUUAUUCGGAGGAGACUGGUAAUAAGAUGUGUUGUAAUAGGAGUGAGAAAGAAGCUACAACAUUUGACAAAUUGCUGAAAGAAGCUGAACGUGAAUUAUACUCGGGAUGUAAGAAAUUUUUGAAGCUUUCAUUUCUUGUAAAGUUGCUACACUUGAAAGUAUACAAUCAGUGGAGUAAUAAAUCGUUUGAUAUGUUGUUGGAGUUGCUAAAAGAGGCAUUGCCUAGUGACGAGACACUUCCUAAGUCAUAUUAUGAUGCUAAAAACAUAUUGCAGGGUUUGGGAUUAGGAUAUAUUUUGAUCCAUGCUUGCAAAAAAUGAUUGUGUGUUGUACCGGUUUGAACAUAAAGAUAGACAAGAGUGUCCACAUUGUGGUACUUCGAGGUGAAAAAUUGACAAUGAAAAUGAUAAAAGGAUUCCUCAUAAAGUUUUGUGAUAUUUUCCAUUAAAUUCGAGACUUUAAAGGUUAUUUAUGUCUAGUAAAACAAGUGUGGACAUGAGGUGGCAUACAGAGAAACGUCUUGAUGAGGAGAAUGUAUUAAGGCAUCCUACUGAUUCUGAAGCAUAGAAAGAGUUUGACAAGAAUCAUCAGUGGUUUGCACAAGAACCUCGUAAUAUUAGACUCGGUCUUGCAACAAAUGGUUUUAAUCCAUAUGGUAACAUGAGCACUUCAUAUAGUAUGUGGCCUAUCAUUCUUGUUCCUUAUAAUCUUCCUCCAUGGAAAUAUUUUAAGGACCCAUUUAUGAUGAUGUCAUUACUUGUUCUUGGUCCCCAAGCACUAGGAAAAGAUAUUGAUAUUUAUUUGCGUCCUUUGGUUAAUGAAUUGAAAGAGUUAUGGAGUGAUGGUGUAGAGACAUUCAAUGCAUCAACUGGAGAAUGCUUCAAAAUGCAUGCUGCUGUUUUAUGGACCAUAAAUAACUUUCCAGAUUAUGACAAUUUAUCUGGAUGGAGCACUAAGGGAUACAUGGCAUGUCCUACUUGCAAUAAGGAUGCAUCUUCACAAAGGUUAAGAGGUAAAAUUUCUUACACGGGUCACCAUCGGUAUCUUGAAUCCAGUCACUCUUGGAGAAGAAGCAAGAAAUUUGAUGGAAAGAUAGAAAAAAGAAUGAAGCCAAAAGAGCUCUUAGGUGAUAAUGUCUUGCAACAAUUGGAUUUACUCAAUACUUAUAGACUAGGAAAAUACUCAAAUAAUAAAAGAAAGAAACGUAUUCCUGAAGAGUUGAAUUGGGUGAGGAAAAGCAGUCUAUUUGAGUUGCCCUACUGGAAGAACUUGAAGUUGCGACAUAAUUUAGAUGUCAUGCACAUAGAAAAUAACAUUUGUAAGGCUAUUUUGGGGAUAUUAUUGAAUAUUGAGGAGAAAACUAAAGAUACAUAUAAAGCAAGACAAGACCUAGAGGAUAUGAACAUAAGAAAAGAACUAUGGUUGCAACAUGAUGGUUCUAAUUAUACAAUGUUUGAUGCUUGUUAUAAUAUGUCAAAAAAAGAGAAAAAAAGUUUUGGGCAUUGUUAAAGUCUGUUAAAUUUCCUGAUGGUUAUGCUUCAAAUAUCUCAGGAUGUGUAAAUAGGGAUGAUGGUAAGAUCAUAUUUUGUUACAUCGAGUGCUGACUAUUGCUAUUCAUGGAUUUAAAAAUAAAGAUGUCGCUUUAGCAUUGAUUAAGUGAUUUUUUCUAUUAUUAUGUUGUAAAACAUUAAGACGAGAUGACUUGGAACAACUAGAAAGGGAUAUAGUUGUUAUAUUAUGUAAGCUUGAAAUAAUCUUUCCACCUAUUUUUUUAGAUGUUAUGGUACAUUUUGUUGUGCAUUUACCACGAGAGGCAAUGUAUGUGGGACCAGUACAAUAUCAUUGGAUGUACAAAAUCGAGAGGUUCUUGUGCAAGCUCAAGCGUUAUGUCUGAAACAAGGCACGACCUGAAGGUUCUACUGCUGAAGGCUAUAUUAUUGAUGAAUGUUUGACAUUUUGAUCUAUGUAUCUUGAUGACAUUAAGAAUAGAUUUAAUCAUAAAGACAGAAAUGAUGAUGGAUCUAGCAAUAAUGAUGGGCCUAUUUUAGAAAUAUUUUCAAAAAGUGUUAGACCAUUUAAAGAUGGAGAUUAUGAUAUCAUACCAAAGAAAGAUUUUGACAUGGCUCAGUGGUAUGUGUUGAAUAAUUGCGAAGAAGCAGAACCUUUUCUUGAAGAGCAUAAAGAAGAGCUAUUGAAGCAAGGUGUUGUGGAUAUAGAAGAUAUACGCAGAGAAUAAUUUCCUUUGUGGUUCAGAAGGAAAAUUAUGCAGUUAUUUAAUAAGCAGAAGUCAAGGUCUAUCAUGAAAUAUAUCCUUUUGCUAUGGGUAUGCAUGGAACAAAACGUAUUGAUUGUAUUGUAAAUGGUGUUAGGUACCAUAUUCAGCAACGCGAUGAAUUAUGUAAAAGUCAAAAUUGUGGUACAGCUGUUAGAGGCCUUCAUGAAAAAGUGGUGGUUGAUUUUUAUGGUAUCAUAACUGACAUCCUUGAGUUAGAGUACGCUGAAGAAAAUCAAGUUUUUCUAUUCAAAUGCAAGUGGUUUGAUCUUCGCAAGAAAACAGGGAUGCAAGAAGAUAAAAAUUUUACGAGCAUCUGUGUUAAAAGAUUUUGGUAGGAACAUGAUCCCUUUGUACUAACCACUUAAGCAAAGUAAGUAUUUUAUAUUGAUAACCCAAAAUUGGGGGAAGAUUGGCGAAUUGUGCUCAAAUUUCAAGCUAGGUACAUAUAUGAUGUUCCUGAAAAGGAAAACUCAGAGGUUAAAAAUGAUGAGUUGCUUGUUACGAAUACUGAAGUGUAUCAAGAUACGUCACUUGAAAGUAAAUCAAUUGUUAAUGCUACAGUUGAUAUGUUGAGUCAACUAUAUAGAGAUAAUGUUGAGUCGAUUAUCAUAGAUGCAAAUACAAUUGAAUUUGAGGCUCAAAUAGAAUAUAAAGUUGAAGUUGAUUAUGAUGGAGAUGAUUCUGACCAAGUGGAUGACACUAUAGUUGAGUACAUCAGUGACCAUGAGAAGAAUGAAGGUAAUAAUAGUACUACUAACAAUGAAGCUGAUAGAACAGACGCCAAUGAUAACAUUGACUUGUGAUGUAACCUCAUAAUAAGUAAGGUCAAUUACAUACAUGUUAAUAUAUAACUCUCCUAAAUUAUUUAUAUCUUCUUUAGUUGAUUUUAGGGGGAUGAAUUUCAUAAGUUAUUUGCAGACACGCCUAUUGAGCUGAAUUUUCAUGAAGGACUUUAGGGUGAUAAUAUUACUUACCACACACUUAUUGGUCGCAUUGGUUGUACCUUAUUGGUCUUUUCAGAACUUGGAGAACAAGAGUUGAUUGGAGAACCUCUAAGUGCCAAUCUAGAUUCUUAACAUAGAUUUUGAUGCGGUGUAUUUAGUAGCAGUACUCUUAGUCUACAAAUUUUUGUUGUUGUUGAUUGAAUUUCAGAGCUUUGUUCGCUUAAUUUUUUCAUUUUUCUGAUGAUAUUGAUCCUAUCGUGAUUACUGAUUCAUGCUUCCAUGUCUAAUCUUUAGCUUAUUUCUCAUAUUUGUUUUUUGGUAUGAUGAUAAUAUUAGUUAAAAAUGAGUUUUUGAGUAACCCGUAAAGUUGCUGCCAUGUGAUUAAGAGGUCAUGAGUUCAAGUUGUGGAAAUAGUCUCUGUAGAAAUGCAGGGUGAGGUUGCUUACAUAGACCUUUAAGGUCUGGCUCUUCUUAAGACCCCGCUCACAGUGGGAACUUUAGUGCACUAGGCUACUCUUUAUGAUAAUAUUAGUUGAGGGUGAAUAAGAAAAUAUGGUCAAUGAAGAUUCAUAUAGUUGGAGCUUAACUUGUUUGGGAUUGGGGUAUAUCUAUAGUUGUUCUGUUGUGAACAUGGAUAGCCUAGAGGCAGGCCAAGCUGCUGGUGCCUUAUGGUUCGGUAUUUUCAUAAUUCUCUUGAAGAAUUUCAUGGGGUAACCAAAAUAGAGUAUCACUUUACCUUGAACUUUUGGCAACCCAAAUGCAAUUGGUUGAUACCGAACAAGAGUGUUUUCCCCCGAGAUUCUUGUUGUCUGAUAAAUGUAUUUAAAUAAACUGCAAUAUUUUAUUUUUUCUCCUCUAGAGGUGUCACUUGGUCGGGUCUGAUAAUAGGGUCAUGGGCUUUUUCUGUAAGGGCUUUGCAAAAUUCUACAUCUGUUGUGCAUUGUGAAGAAAGUUUCUUAUUUCGUUGUUACCUCAUGUUAUGUUUAGGUUAUCAAUUGUAAAGAUGAGAUUGCAUAGGGAUAUUUGAUGGAUUGCCUUAAAGUCUUCCCUGAUGAGUACCAUUUACAAACUCUUGAAACAUUACUAGGUGUUUGCCCGUAAUUUCAGGUUUGGCAGGUUUUUCACUUAUACCUCAUCCUAUGUAUACUGUCUUAGUUCUGUACUGCUUUUUCUUAUCCCUGGCUAUAUCUUAUUUUUGUUAAUGGGUUUCUACAGUCAUGGGAAGUUUUGGUCUACUAUAGUGUACUAGGUUAACAUAUUCUGUAGUCCAAGGCAUGAAUGUCACCUUUUCUGGCUUAAAGGCUUCAUAGUAUAAAGAGUUCAGCUUUUGAACUUUCGUACUCGAUCAAUUGCAUGCAAGUAUUCUUUUUAUCUUACAAUGUAUUUUCAUUUCACUAUUUUUUACCUCAAAUUUAUUCUUCUUAUUGACAAUAUGUUUUUUUCUUGUUGAACAAUUUACUAGAAUAAAUCUUCAACAAUAGAUGAUAGAUGGGAUGUGGAUCGUCUAGAAAAUAAAAGUGAAUAUACACCCGUUGCUCAUCAUAGAGAUUACUUAAGGAGAAGUAUGCGGUUUUCCUCUGAAAGAGUAGUUCUCAGUUUGCCUUCACGAGGUCCCCUGAAGAUGAGGAUGUCAAGAAUGCGUAAGUUCUAGAAGAUUUGUUCCCUCCAUACUCUUAUGUAUAUUUGAAGACUAAUGGAGACACUAUUAAAGCUACGGCCAGUGAUAGAUUUCCUUCUUAAAAAUCAAAAUACAAGAGAUCCUUACCAGUAUCACAUUAUUUGGGGUCAGUGGAGAUUCUCCAUAGGUUAUUGUAUAAAUAGAAGAAGAUGAUCACAAGAAAUUUAGAUUUGACGGGGACAUUACACUCGAGAGGAUUAAGCAUUUAAUGAGGACUUUCUAGACGACAAGCUCAAACCUUUCUAUAAAUUAGAUCCAGUUCCUGAGACAAAUGAUGCUGAUGUGAAAAUCAUUAUUGGGAAUAAUUUUGAUGAAAUUGUUCUAAAUGAGUCAAAAGACGUGCUUCUUGAGAUCUACGCAACAUGGUGUAGGCACUGCCAAGCUCUGGAACCAAUAUUCAAUAAACUAGCAUAUCACUUAAAUGACGAUGAGUCUUUUGUUAUAGCCAAAAUGGAUGGAACAAGAAACGAGCACCCCUGUGCUAAGAUUGAGAACAUGUACCUAAGCACCAACGUAUCUGCUAUUCCAAUUAUACCAGAUUCAGAAGGUCUCGAGAGAUAGUUAUUUUUUAGUUUCUGCUUUGAUAAUCUGCUAUGCUGCUUCUCAUAGAACUCUUGAUAAGUCAUCAUCAAAUGUUGGUUAUGUGAUGCUAAUGUUUGAUCACUUUUAUGAUGGAAAGUCGUCAGGAGUGCGAGAGUGAGCUUAUUGAACGUUUGGCUCGCUUGUCAAAAUGCCUCUACUAAAACCUGAAAGAAAUCCUCCUUGCAAGAUGAGUCAGAAUGUGUUCAGUUAGCAGCAGAAGAGAAAUUCAAAUCCUGCAUCACUGCAUACAAGUCAUUGUGCAAUGCAUUCUCCCCAGCUUAAUAUUGGUUGGGCUUUCCUCGCCUCUCGAACUAGCUUUUGGGUUGAGUAAGAUAUGAAGUCAGAAGUUAUAACACUGAGGUUGAUAUCUGGUUCAGCAAGACAAUUGCUCGACCUUUCACUCUAUUAAGGAAUUUUAGUUCCCCAGCAUAGAUAAGAAUGGCAGUCCUGGCAUAUGCAAGGAUGUUGGCGCUAGAUUGAAUUUUGUUUACGAUACCCAGUUUCUGCUGGUAUCUGAAGAAAGCAUAGCUGACGUCAACUCUAGGCUAAAAUCAAAUUGAAGUUGCAAGAGAAGAUGAAAGUUCAGAGAAUGCACAAGCUCAUUAUUAUUUUGCUAAGAACAUUAUGUAAACUUGACAUCACAUUCUAUCUCAGGAUGUUAAUUGGUUAAGUUUUUUUUUGUUUAGCAAAUAAUGAAACUAUUGACAUCGGGAUGUUAUUAAUUGAUUAAGUUUUUUUGUUUAGCAAAUUAAUAUUGAAACUA